UGGGUUUGAAAUCCUUGGAUUAUCCUGAUGAAAGUCGGGUACACCCUUCGGGGCGGAACUUGGACAGGUGCUGCAUGGCUGUCGUCAGCUCGUGUCGUGAGAUGUCGGGUUAAGUCCCUUAACGAGCGAAACCUUUGCCCUUAGUUACCAGCGGGUUAUGCCGGGGACUCUAAGGGGACUGCCGGUGUCAAACCGGAGGAAGGUGGAGAUGACGUCAAGUCCGCAUGGCCUUUAUGCCCAGGGCCACACACGUGC
RNAcentral lists this ribosomal RNA (255 nucleotides) under uncultured bacterium. RNAcentral's name for it is "partial 16S ribosomal RNA". It matches the Rfam family "Bacterial small subunit ribosomal RNA", at positions 976 to 1225 of the family's 1533-position model. The record is from RNAcentral.